Long non-coding RNA from Lontra canadensis (Northern American river otter), 362 nucleotides. RefSeq lists it as uncharacterized. The transcript has 3 exons. Lineage: Eukaryota; Metazoa; Chordata; Mammalia; Carnivora; Mustelidae. The record is from RefSeq and is a predicted model, not a curated record.
AGAGCAUCAUCCGUGUGGUUUUCCACGACCGCCGGCUGCAGUACACAGAGCACCAGCAGCUGGAGGGAUGGCGCUGGAGCCGGCCCGGGGACAGGAUCCUGGACAUCGAUAUUCCACUGUCUGUUGGUAUCUUGGACCCCAGGGCCAGCCCGACCCAGCUGAACGCAGUCGAAUUUUUAUGGGACCCUUCGAAGAGAGCCUCUGCGUUCAUUCAGGUGCACUGUAUCAGCACCGAGUUCACUCCCAGGAAGCACGGGGGCGAGAAGGGCGUGCCUUUCCGGGUGCAGAUCGAUACAUUUAAGCAGAACGAGAAUGGGGAGUACACAGAGCACUUGCACUCGGCCAGCUGCCAGAUCAAGGUG